Molecule: non-coding RNA, 91 nt
Organism: Paramuricea clavata
Lineage: Eukaryota; Metazoa; Cnidaria; Anthozoa; Malacalcyonacea; Plexauridae
Source: the annotation of a GenBank genome assembly
AUUAGACGAAUAUUAUGACGUCGAUACUCGACGUCAUGAACACCAAAGUUGAUCGUGUUUAUGACGUCGAAUAUCGACGUCAUAAACACCA